ACUCUCUCAAGGACAUUCUGAGGGUGAUAAACUCAGAGCAUGUGAGAUACAGGACUACAGGACAGGAAAAAAAGGACUCUGCUAAGGCCAUGAAGCCCAGGAACUUUCUCCACAUUCUCUAAUCUUUACACAGUCCUAAAGGAGGCUGUUGCAAUUAGGAUGGCGAAUGGUGAAAAACAGUGUGGUUGAAUUGAACAUAAGCUGAAGGGCUAGACAUCAUGGCUUCAAUCCUUGUGGAGAGUACUUCUCAGAAGUGAAUGUCAACUUCCUGAUGUUUAUACUCAAGGAGAAUGAGGUUUGGAGAUCUGAGUAGUUUACUGAAGGCACUCACAUUGAAAGAUUUUAUGAAGCUGAAAUUCAAAUCUAGAUGUGCCCCAUCCAAAGACCACCCUCUUUAUACAGCAACAUGCUGCUUCCCCUGGAUCAAGAAACACAAGGAGCCUUCAUCUACCACAUAAGAAUUGCAGCAAACCCUGCAGCUAUCCUGAAGCUGCCAUGCUGAAAAGGCCAAUUGGGAGACCACAUAGAGACCGAGAGAGACUUCCAAGGACUCCAGCCAAUCCUGGGCCCCAGCAGUUUGAAUCUCCCAGCAAUGCCACCAUACAGGAGAGGGAGCAAAUACUCAGAAGAUUCAAGUGCCAGCUGCAUGGGUUGAUACCUACAUAAAAGGCAUUGGCAUUAUUCACAAGAGCCAAGAUAUGGAAAUAACCUGUGUCCAUUGACAGACGAAUAGAUGAGGGAAACGUGGCAUAUACACACAGUGGAAUAUUAUUCGGAAUUAAAAAAAGAAGGAAAUCCUGAAUCCUGCUAUUUCUGACAACAUGAGACUGCAGGACGUUAUGAAAAUGGCCACAUCAUGCUCUUCUAGAACUUUCUCAUCCCUCAGUCAAGAGGUGGAGCCUAUUUACCCUUGACCUUGAAAUUGAUCAGGACUUUGUCACUGCCUUGCUCUUAACAUCACCAUGCUGGAGAAAUAGCAUGGCAAGGCCAGCUGGUGAUAGAGAAAGAUGCCUAAGGAGCUCCAGCUGCUAUUUUCCCUGGAUUUUUGAGUCUUCCCAGUCCAGCCAGACAUAUGACUGGGCAAAACCCUCAGGUAACUACAGCCUUAUCCACUGUCUGACUAUCACAAAAUGAGAGACCUUGGGUGAGGACCACCUACCUGAGCCCAGUCAUCCUGCAGAGAUGCGAGAAAAAUAAGAAUGUCAUUAUUGUUAUUUUAAAAUCACUGAGUUUGGGUUAAUUUGUAUGCAGCAAUAGAUAACUGGGACACAAAGAUAGACUGUAAAAAAAUAAAGAGGGAAUGGUUAAGCUAAAAACAUUGUGAUCAAAUCAAUGUUUAGUAAGUAAGCAAGAAAGAUGGCUAUCCAGGGAAGAGAGAUUGCACAACAAAAUGAAAAUGAAACAAGCAAAGAAACAAAGCAUGGAUUAUAACUUGUAAGAGAGAAAACCAUAUUAAGGGGAGUUAUUUGAAUAUUUUGUAUGAAAAUACAGAAAUCAGAUAUAAGUGAGCUGACACUGACUUUGGAGGCAGGAGGAAAACUGAUGGGGAAUUCUGGGAAAACAGAAUGAUACAAAGCAGAAUCCUCAAUGUCCCUACCCAAAACCUAAUGAAAUAAACAGAAA
This is a long non-coding RNA of Homo sapiens (human), 1623 nucleotides long. Ensembl annotates it as MIR3681 host gene. The record is from Ensembl. Lineage: Eukaryota; Metazoa; Chordata; Mammalia; Primates; Hominidae.